RNAcentral lists this ribosomal RNA (464 nucleotides) under uncultured bacterium. Its description in RNAcentral is "partial 16S ribosomal RNA". It matches the Rfam family "Bacterial small subunit ribosomal RNA", at positions 29 to 507 of the family's 1533-position model. The record is from RNAcentral.
ACGCACGCUGGCGGCGUGCUUAACACAUGCAAGUCGAACGGAAAGGCCCCUUUGGGGGUACUCGAGUGGCGAACGGGUGAGUAACACGUGAGUAACCUGCCCUUGACUUCGGGAUAACUUCAGGAAACUGGGGCUAAUACCGGAUAGGAAUCCUUGCUGCAUGGUGGGGGUUGGAAAGCUUCGGCGGUUUUGGAUGGACUCGCGGCUUAUCAGCUUGUUGGUGGGGUAGUGGCUUACCAAGGCUUUGACGGGUAGCCGGCCUGAGAGGGCGACCGGCCACAUUGGGUCUGAGAUACGGCCCAGACUCCUACGGGAGGCAGAAGUGGGGAAUAUUGCACAAUGGGCGGAAGCCUGAUGCAGCAACGCCGCGUGCGGGAUGACGGCCUUCGGGUUGUAAACCGCUUUCAGCAGGGGCGAAGCUUGUGGUGACGGUACCUGCAGAAGAAGCACCGGCUAACUACGUG